GUAAAACGCUUGCCGAAGUGGGGCGUCCGUUUGGCUGUGCGGGAUGUAUCAAGUUCGCAGUCACGUCCGGUCAGAAGGGGGACGUUAAAUCCGAUGCCUCGUGUAAAGAGAGUGCCACGCUCUUUGCACGUUAAGAACCCUUGCAACAACUCUUUUGAGGGGUCCGUAGGUGGCCUGUUGCAAGGCAAAAUUUCUGUCCCUAUCCAAGAUACCCUCAUUUUCCAGUGGCAGUCCAAAUUUCCCCGACCAUCAUCCCAGAUGGCCUCUAUCGUAUCAACCUACCUAUUGUAUUUAUUGUGAACGUGUUCUCGUCC
This 314-nucleotide long non-coding RNA is filed under the name Mytilus galloprovincialis (Mediterranean mussel). The record is from RNAcentral. Lineage: Eukaryota; Metazoa; Mollusca; Bivalvia; Mytilida; Mytilidae.